This 77-nucleotide ribosomal RNA is filed under the name Blautia sp. MCC270. RNAcentral describes it as "partial 16S ribosomal RNA". It matches the Rfam family "Bacterial small subunit ribosomal RNA", at positions 1 to 75 of the family's 1533-position model. The record is from RNAcentral. Lineage: Bacteria; Bacillati; Bacillota; Clostridia; Lachnospirales; Lachnospiraceae.
UUUUAUCAGAGAGUUUGAUCCUGGCUCAGGAUGAACGCUGGCGGCGUGCUUAACACAUGCAAGUCGAACGGGAAACC